CUUUAGCCGCUGUGAAAUAACCUGGAGCAAACUUGUGCGGCUGCGGAAUUCUUAGUCCCAAGCAUAGCCCGAGCCUUUACCUGGAAAGUUCAGGCGGUGUUCCUGGUGGCCCCCUUAGCUGUUGUUCAAAGUAGCCACUUCCAGCUUUGACAUUGCACCAAACCGUGGCACCUGGAUCUUUCAUUGGGCUAUAAUAGACACUCCCGAAUCAACAGUGCUACACAGUCGGUGGCGAAGCUAUCACCGAAUAGUUAUCGCCAUGUUUAUUGUCUUGGCAGAGCAAUGAUUUCCACUAACUUGUCCAUAAGAGUUGUAUAAAACAUCACAGCUAUGGAGUUCCUUGGACAAGAACUCGUUAUGGAAAAGGACAAAAAAGGCAGUGUGUCUUCCUGUGCACCAUUGCCUACCUCAUAACACAAAUUUCGAUUCAUACCUUGGCUGGCAGAAGCAGGAGUCCAAGG
Dermacentor andersoni is the source of this 461-nucleotide long non-coding RNA. RefSeq lists it as uncharacterized. The record is from RefSeq and is a predicted model, not a curated record. Lineage: Eukaryota; Metazoa; Arthropoda; Arachnida; Ixodida; Ixodidae.